CGAUUUUUACUCGAGGAGAGAGAAACCCUAGAGAGAGAAAAUGAGGGAGGUGCAAAGCUCUUCCUCUGAGCUCUAGCAUGCUCCACCAGGUUCCAGGAGUCGUGCUGGGGGAGAUAAGGAUGGUAUAAGAAGUGAAAUUACCAAAGUAACCUUGCUGCCACGUAUCUGCCAAUGUGUACCGGUACAAGGUGAUGGCUGUACCGGUACAGCAAGCAGAAAAUGCUGAUUUUCGUCAGAACAAAGCACUUUCAUGCUUUUAACUUCCCAAUCACCCUCUAACUUGUCCAAAAACUUGUCUAAGCCCUUUAGAAUAUGUAGGGUAGUUCCACAUACCUUUUCCCAUAUUCGAACUUCAUAAGUGACCAAAUUCAAAGCAUUGCAAUAGAAUAAUGCACUUGCAAUGCAUUUUUCCAUUUCCAGUUAUCUUCUUGCUCCAGUAAUUUAUUGAAGCCUCUCAACAAUCCUACAAAAAGUGUAGAAGAGUUCGAAUCACUAUUCCAACCCUCAGAUUCACAGUUUGCCAAAAUUCAGUGUAUUACAGAACCGCCGCCCGAUCGCUUCUUCCCCUUGUCUUGGGAUCCGGCCAACAACUCACGUUCCUCCCGCACGUGGGCGUCCCCAUGCUCCGCCCACAGCGCCUUGUUGAAAACCUCGGCGAAAGUCGUUAGCUGGAACAGUUGCACCGCCCUAUAAAUCCACGGCCGAAGUCCUCGCAAGAACCACUCGGCUCGAUCCGCGUCGUCCUUGACCACGUCCGGGACACAGUCUAGGAUGUGGGAGAACUCCUGCUCGUAGUCCGCCACCGAAUGAUCUCCCUGUCUCAAUUUGCGAAACCUCUCCUUCAACUUCCGCUUCUCGAUGUCCGGGAAGUAAUUUCCGAAUAUCUCCUUCUUAAACCCCUCCCAGAGCAUUGGUGGAAGGUCAGAGGGUCGAUCCCGCUUCAACCGCUUCCACCACACCUUCGCCGCCUUGUCGAGGCAAUGGGUGGCGAAAGGCACCUUAUCUCUCUCCGGGGUGUAUAGGUCCUCGAAGAGGGUCUCCAUAGAGUCAAUCCAAGACUCCACCACCGACGGCUCCACUUUCCCCCCUUCAAAAUUUGGUGGCUUAAACUUCAUAAAUUUCAUUAAAGCCGUUAGCGCACGCUCCCGCUCCACUUUAUCGGCCGGCGUAUCAAGCGUCGCCGAACCCGAAGCUGUCGGAGGCGCACUUGUCGGCGGGGGAACCGCCGCCAUCGGAACCGCCGCUAUGCCCUCACCCUCGGCCACUACCGGCGUGCGUGCCGAAGGUGCGGGCGGAUCACGAUCUCCUGCCGCCGUCGCGGCCGCCGCCGCUGCCGCUUGCCGCUCCACAACUUCCUGGCGCUGCUCGAACCGAGCCUCCUGGCGCUGCAUCGCGCCCAUCAUUGCAGCGACCUGCUCUCGCAGCUCCUGCACUUCCUCCGAUCUUGGCUGCUCGGGCUCCGCAGAAGGCGGUACCGGAGCAGACCUACGCACGUAACGCCUUGGGGACAUUUGCUCCUGAAAAGCAACNCCAUUCACAUUAGUGGAUGUUGCUACACGUCAAUACUUAUGUUCAGACAAAUUCCAUUAAUGUUGUCUCUACAGCUUUACUGCUUUCCUUUACACCAAUCGUAAAGUAACUCAUGACCAUUUAGAUAAACUUCUUUGAUACUGUUCUGAGAGUGUGGGGCUCAAAGUAUUCAUUGUCCCAAAUCCAAUUUAGGCAAUAGAGGGGAAUCAAUUUAUACUUCACCCAUAAGUUCUCUAUUGCUGUUACUCUACAUAUUUUUCCAUAAAUAGGGAAGAAAUCUGAACAAAACCUUUCGUUAAUUCACAAUUAGAGCAUCAUCAAUUGCUUUCGAACUGUAAGAGAUUUAUCCUGAUAUCACUAUCAGUCAAGAUAUUAAUUCCCAAAGACUAACCUCAUGCAGUUUGUUCCCUGAAGCUUAGUUCCAAUUAUACAUAAUUAGAAUCAGAAGAGAAAGAAACAAGUAGCUGGGUAAUCUCUUUUUCAAUAUUCCAAGAUGCUUAGUUCCAUUAGGAGAGUCUCAUCUCAAUCCUUUUAAUUCAUCCUCCUGUUCAGUCAAUAUCUGCCUUGCAGGAUUCACCGAACAAACAACUGGAUAAAUCCUUCAUAACCUUUUUCUAUCAUAGAAGAAUGCAGCUUCCUCAGACUGCUACUCAAUCUAUAGCACGCAUCCAAUACUAAAGGCUGAUCAAAAGAUCAUCCGCUCUUGACUUAAUCAACCACUAAAUUGUGUUUCACUUAAAAUCACGAUAUUCGACACAUAGUCGAAUAGCUCAUUUAAUCUCACCACAAGUGAAAUUAUUUCACCAAAAUGAAGCCCUAGGCAUAAAACAUUCUCUAAUUAUCAAGUUCACAAUUUGUGACUUGUUUAGGAAUAGCACAACCACUACUCAAGAACUACCCUUCACUUUGAGGGUUCUUACAAUUUAACAGUAUCAGCCAAUUAGGCUCCAACCUUUCUAUAAUUACCUAAUUUAGGUAAAAUGACCAUUCUCGCAAUCAGCGAGGCUAAACCCUUCAAGAUGUAUUGCAUAAUGUUCAAAGUUCCAAGGCGAAUCAAUUUAGUUCGCACAAACCAUGGUAUAAAGUAUCUCCCAACUAAGUUUCAAUCCAAACCAUUCUGUUCAAUCAAUCCUACAUGCAUUAAGGAGGAAAUUGAUGCUAAUCGACUCGGCCAACAGCCGAUAAUAGAUGCAACUAAAGCAAUCAUUAUGAUCAUAUCGCAUCAUAGGAACAUUGCAUAAAGUACUACCUGCAGUAGUUAUCCCUGCCGUCGUAUCUGACUCUAUGAUUCCGUCGGCGUACCUCCAUUGGGUACUUUUUGCAACAAAGUCGGUGCAGAGACCUUAGUCAACAUGUUAUUUCUUGGGCACUCAGAGCGAAAAUGGCCAUCCUGACCACAUACAAAACACUUUUCUUUCCGCUGAGGACACUUUGGGGGAACAUGCGGACCUCCACAAAUCACACAUGGCCGAGGUAAUCGUCUCCUCAAUCUUCUUUGCUUAGAAACAGAACCACGUUUCCAAGGUUGAUUCUUCUUUAAUUUUCUUGAUGAUUCUCCGACAUGUAAUUGAUCGCCCUUGGUAGCCUCUUUGGCUCCUUCAGUGCAUUCCACACCUUUUCUUACGGUCAAAGUACGAUCCGAAACCUCGUAGAAUUUCUUGAGAUCAGCCGUCUGUUGAAUCAACAGGUUCUCCAACCGUCUGAUUCCUUCAUCCUGUCGGCGCAAAGCCUCGGCUUGAAGUAGCGUCACAGUCGCUUGUCGCUCCACCACUCCAACUAGAGUAGCCAGCUGCUCUUUUAAUUCCCGAAUCUCACUAAUCAGAGGUGGCACCGUCCUUUCUGGGCUCGAUGUCUCAUCAGCCGUAGGGUGCAUCUUUGACAUGCAAGCUGAACAAACAAAAUAGCACAGGUUAAAACCAACGCCAUGGCUAUCAGGUAGCCGCACUCAAAAUUGUAAAAUCCAAUCAUGCGAUAGUAAUUGAAAUGACCGCCCACUUAUCCCAAUAUCACGUUGUCGCCGCCAGUGAUUUUGAAGGACAUAGAACGUUUAUUCAUAUUCAAUCGAACCACCAAUCAAUUGUUGGAGUUAUCAAAGUAUAGACCUCACCAAUCAUAAUACUUUCGCCUCAUAUAUGUCGUCAAAGAGCCGCGUAAACACCUCCACGCUCGCUAAUCCUGAUCAUAUCCACUGCACUAAGGUUUACAAUAGGUCCACUAAGACUCAACCCUAGGCUCUGACUCCACUAUAAUCUGUCAUCGCCCGGUACCCAGCAGAAGCAUAUCGCGGCUCGCGUCACAGACCGCCGUGUAGCACCACCAGCUCAAGUACUACACAAAGGCGUCUACAAACUAUAUAGUAAAAGCAUACACUUCUAACAGGUAAUUAAGCACGUACUUUAAGUUUAAACUUAUACAAUCCAAACCGUUAAUACAAAUGAGUUAACAAAAGCUUAAUAUACAACACUGUAGUUAAACUAUAAUAACUGCUGGGCGGUGAUCUAGUAUAUCGUCCAAAAAAGCUCUAGCUAGCUGUCGCUGACCCCCUCGCCAGGAACCCUAAGCCUUUCCCAGCUGUGGAAGGCAUCUGUUAAAACAACAACAAAGAGGCGUUGAGAACUACUUUAAACAAUAGUUCCAGCGGGUAAGAAGCCGCGAGAGUGGCGAAGUACACCCAUAGGUCACUGUGGCAUGAGUAGAUAACAUAAAUAAGCGAGUAAGAAUCAGAUAAUCCAUAAGCAUUAUAUGCAAUCAUGAUAUGGAAGUAAACUAUACUCAUGCCCUAUUUUGCUCACCAUAAAUGAAACAUCAAUAGAUUGGGCAGGUAUCAGUUAUCAUGAUAGAUUUCUCACUCAUCAUUAUUACUUGACAAUUUAAUCAACAUAUAUAGAAUGUAUGCAAGAUAAUUCACUUUAUCUGCCAAAUUACAGAUGAUAUCAUGUAAUUACCUUGUUUCCAUAGCAAGAAAGAAACAUAACUGUCAUUCAUUAAUGUUUGCUAAACCAAAUCAUGAUGUCAACUUUCUAGGUUGUUCAUCAGCUAAGCUGCACUUUAGAUGUCAAACUUCUAGUAUUUUCAUCAAUAAAGUUCACUUAACCCCAAGACAUAUAGUAACUUUACUACUCUGUCCAUCAGGCUAUAGGUCAAAGUACUUGACAUAACCAAUUUCCAACGGUACUUACACAAGGUAAGUUCAAGUCGCGCCGUGCCUGAAAAAUAAUGGUCCCGUGUAGUAAAACAUCCCGCUGACAUAAACCCAUUGUCCAACGGACUUACACAAGGUAAGUUCAAGCCAGCGCCGUGCUAAUCCCCGUGUAAGUCAACAUCCCACUCUAAGGAAUAGUCCCCAGGCCUCCCCCCGGCAUUUCAUUUCGGCGCGUCACGUCGUACAUUUUGCGAGCAUACUGCUCGCUAACUGUUCGGAGUGCUGCUUGGGGGGAGCGACCCACAAGCUCGUGUGCAAACGCGCACAAUGGCAUGCAAGCCGUAGUCCACAGUAGCCAGUCUCACAAACCAACAUCAUGCCCCUGACAUGGAAUCUUUAACUCAAGGCCACUCCGAACGCGGGGCUUGGGGGGCGCGACCCCCACAAGCAUGUACGAAAGAGCAUAAUGGCCCUAGCCACGCUAUAGUCCCCAGGAUAAAAUAUCCAACAAACAUGCCUUUCUCUGACAUGGAAUCUCAACUCGACCUCAAGGUCGGCACUGUAUACCCAAUCUGAAGUCACUAUCACAACUGUUGACAAUGAUUCUAACAAGUCCGUUAAUAUAACUUGACAAGUGUUAAGAGCUUUACAUCAACACUAGUGAUUCUAUCAGGCUAAUACUCGGUCAGUCACUCCCAAUCAUCUCACUACUCCUUACACAUAAGGAAAGUGUUUCUAAGUUCUAUUCAUAGACUCAUGGCACAUACCUGUAGUCGCAAUAUCAAAUCUCUAAUCUGAUCUAUACAAUACGUUAUCAUAUCCAAAUCUAGUUAUUUACUAGAUUAUAUUUGCAGGUCCGAAAUAAUCAUUCAAGUUAUGCCAUCAUAUAAAAGUCUAGUUACUUACUAGAACAUAUACCCAUAAUACAAUCUAUGCAUGUAAAGUAAACUAACAAGGUAAUUGCAAGCAUAAAACAAGCGAUAACACACUCUUCUCUUCAGAUGAUCUCUAUCAUUCAUUCUAACAAAUGGAAAUGCAUAUGCCAAACAAAGGCCUUUAGCUAGAUCCUUUCAGAGUAUAAGCCAUAUACUUGCUAUAUAAAUUGCAUAGGCUCAAUCCUAAAAUACAUCAAUCUCUAUUGUUGUUCAACAGAAUUAAUUAUCCCUUCACGAACCUUAUCAUUAUAUCCUCUUGGAUAAGCAAUCAAGCUAAAAUUGCAUCGCAGCUACUAGUAUCAUGAGCACGUAGUACUUUAACAGGUAAACCAUAGUAAAGUGAAACAAGUCAUAAAUCUUUCAUUACUGUUUAUAAGAUGCUACAUAUCCAAUAUGAUCUACUCAUCAUCAUGUCGCAAUGCCUUUGCACUAGUACAUAUAUUUCACAUGAUAUCGGAAUAACUUGCAACUCAGAUCGUCAAAGGAGACAUAUGAGGAAAAUUCACGCACCAUUUCGGAAGGGUCGAACCCACCUAUCAACAAGCGCAAUCCAGCAAGAAAGCUUGAAACUCAGCUCAGCGGACCCCAACUCUGUGAAAACGAAAACACGGAAGGCGGCAUCAAACUACGACCGAAAUGUCCAAAUUUCGGCACACAUUGUUCUUAGUACAAGUAAUCAGCUUGACUCGGCCUGUUUGGUUCAGGUUAAUACUCAAGUAUAGCUCCUAAAAGCCUUCACGCAUCAACCGGAGAUAAAAUCCGAAAGUCGGCGUCGCAAGCCGCGCUGGCGAACAAUUUCCAAAACAGGCAAUCAUAUCGUCAGAUUAUUAAUAGAUAAUAGUCGGAAUCUGCAAAUUUAGUUUCCUCAACAGCACUUUCAAGCUUACCAUAGUGGAACACCUUUGUUAUACAGUCCAGGUCACCAAUUAAGCUUAAAUUAAUCCGCAAACCUGCUGCUGAAGAGAACAUCCAAACUGGCAUAUCAAUUUCGCACUAAUAAACUUCAAAUAUAGUUUUCGAAAGUAACAUCCAAACUAACAAAAUUACCUUUUCCAACUUUGGAGGCGGCCAGUUAUUGGGUCUGGAUCGGUUUCAACUCCCACUAAAUAACUCUUUAGCUGGGCUGAAAAUUGCCCCGCGAACCUCAGCUGGGAGCAAACAAAAACCAAACUACUUCAUGAAAUCCAAAACUAGCCUCUUUUCCCCAAUUAAGCUACACUACUUCACAAGCUGGGCAACUCAGGCUCUUUCCUGGUAUUACAAUCCCGAAGAAAGUCAGUAAAUAUCCUCCCUCCCCACCGUUCCGAAAGCUUUCCUUAGUUUCCAAACCAGCGAGUAACGCGCGCUGGCGCGAAUAAGCUCCUGAAUAUGCCAGAUUUCUUAUAGCUCGAGAAAGAAAACCCUAGAGAGAGAAAUGAGGAGUGCCAAAGCUUCCUCUUGAGCUCUAGCAUGCUCCACAAGGCUCCAGGAGUUCGUGCUGGGGGAGAUAAGGAUGGUAUAAGAAUGAAUUACGCAAAGUAACCUUGCUGCCACGUAUUGCCAAUGUGUACGUACACAGGUGAUGCAUGUACCGGUACAUCAAGCAGAAAAUGCUGAUUUUUCGUAGCCAGAACAAAGCACUUUCAUGCUUUAACUUCACCAAUGGCACCCCUAACUUGUCCAUAAACUUGUCUAAUCCCUUUAGAAUAU
This 7296-nucleotide long non-coding RNA is filed under the name Ananas comosus (pineapple). RNAcentral's name for it is "long non-coding RNA (ACOM_LNC031668)". Lineage: Eukaryota; Viridiplantae; Streptophyta; Magnoliopsida; Poales; Bromeliaceae. The record is from RNAcentral.